This 449-nucleotide ribosomal RNA is filed under the name Natrialba chahannaoensis. RNAcentral's name for it is "bacterial SSU rRNA". It matches the Rfam family "Archaeal small subunit ribosomal RNA", at positions 50 to 491 of the family's 1478-position model. The record is from RNAcentral. Lineage: Archaea; Methanobacteriati; Methanobacteriota; Halobacteria; Halobacteriales; Natrialbaceae.
CAUGCUAGUUGUACGAGUUCAGACUCGUAGCAGAUAGCUCAGUAACACGUGGCCAAACUACCCUAUAGAUCCAGACAACCUCGGGAAACUGAGGCUAAUCUGGAAUAGGGCUCUCAUCCUGGAGUGGAGAGAGCCUGAAACGCUCCGGCGCUAUAGGAUGUGGCUGCGGCCGAUUAGGUAGACGGUGGGGUAACGGCCCACCGUGCCAGUAAUCGGUACGGGUUGUGAGAGCAAGAGCCCGGAGACGGUAUCUGAGACAAGAUACCGGGCCCUACGGGGCGCAGCAGGCGCGAAACCUUUACACUGCACGCCAGUGCGAUAAGGGGACUCCAAGUGCGAGGGCAUAUAGUCCUCGCUUUUUGCGACCGUAAGGUGGUCGCGGAAUAAGUGCUGGGCAAGACCGGUGCCAGCCGCCGCGGUAAUACCGGCAGCACGAGUUGAUGACCGCU